UAAAGCAAGCACCCAGAUAAAAACAAUUCAAACGCAGAUUAUUUUUGACAAAAAUGUAUCUGUGGGUCAAACUUGUAGUAGCCAAGUAGAAAGUUAUAGAAUAAGAAUAAAAGGUGUAAUUUAUUUAACUGCAAUACUGAACCCAUCUUUUGCUGCAGGAAUUAAAUGUUGAGGUCCAUUACAGAACCAUUUUUUUUCUAAAUGUUUAGCCAAAUAAAGCUAAAGUUAACUUU
This 233-nucleotide long non-coding RNA is filed under the name Mytilus galloprovincialis (Mediterranean mussel). Lineage: Eukaryota; Metazoa; Mollusca; Bivalvia; Mytilida; Mytilidae. The record is from RNAcentral.